CCCUUAGAUGUUCUGGGCCGCACGCGCGCUACACUGAUGCAUUCAACGAGUCUAAAACCUGCUCUGAUAGGGGUGGGUAAUCUUUUGAAUGUGCAUCGUGAUUGGGGUAGAUGAUUGAAAUUUUUCAUCUUCAACGAGGAAUGCCUAGUAAACGCAAGUCAUCAGCUUGCAUUGAUUACGUCCCUGCCCUUUGUACACACCGCCCGUCGCUCCUACCGAUUGAAUGAUCCGAUGAAUAUCAUGGAUUGAGGAUGCAAGUAGGUUCACCUAUCUUCAUCUUCGAGAAGUGAAGUAAAUCUUAUCAUUUAGAGGAAGGAGAAGUCGUAACA
This 329-nucleotide ribosomal RNA is filed under the name uncultured eukaryote. RNAcentral's name for it is "partial 18S ribosomal RNA". It matches the Rfam family "Eukaryotic small subunit ribosomal RNA", at positions 1470 to 1796 of the family's 1831-position model. The record is from RNAcentral.